Molecule: ribosomal RNA, 223 nt
Filed under: uncultured bacterium
Lineage: Bacteria
Description: partial 16S ribosomal RNA
Rfam family: Bacterial small subunit ribosomal RNA
Source: RNAcentral
GGUUUAAUUCGAAGCAACGCGCAGAACCUUACCAACCCUUGACAUCCCCGGACCGCUGGAGAGAUUCAGCUUCCCCGUAAGGGGCCGGGUGACAGGUGCUGCAUGGCUGUCGUCAGCUCGUGUCGUGAGAUGUUCGGUUAAGUCCGGCAACGAGCGCAACCCACACCCCUGGUUGCCAUCAUUUGGUUGGGCACUCUAGGGGAACUGCCCGUGAUAAGCGGGA